Molecule: ribosomal RNA, 697 nt
Filed under: uncultured bacterium
Lineage: Bacteria
Description: bacterial SSU rRNA
Rfam family: Bacterial small subunit ribosomal RNA
Source: RNAcentral
AACGAACGCUGGCGGCAGGUCUUAGGCAUGCAAGUCGAACGGAUGACAGAAGAGCUUGCUCUUCUAAAGUCAGUGGCGCACGAGUGAGUAACGCGUGGGAAACUGCCCUUCACUGGGGAAUAACGUUUGGAAACGAACGCUAAUACCGCAUACGCCCGCAAGGGGAAAGAUUUAUCGGUGAUGGAUGUGCCCGCGUCUGAUUAUUUUGUUGGUGGGGUAAUGGCCUACCAAAGCAAUGAUCCAUAGCUGGUCUGAGAGGACGAUCAGCCACGCUGGAACUGAGACACGGUCCAGACUCCUACGGGAGGCAGCAGCUAAGAAUAUUGGGCAAUGGAGGAAACUCUGACCCAGCCAUGCCGCGUGAAUGAAGAAGCCUUCGGGUUGUAAAGUCUUUUAUCGUGAAGAUGAUGACAGUAGCGAUGAAAAGCACCGGCUAACUUCGUGCCAGCAGCCGCGGUAAUACGAAGGGUGCAGCGUUCUUCGGAUCUACUGGGCGUAAAGCGUCGGUAGUGUUUGUAGUCAGGGUGAAAUCCCAGGACCAACCCUGGAACUGCCUUGAUACUGCCAGCUGGGACCCGAUUAAAGAAAAUAGAAUAUCUGCGUGAGGGUGAAAUCCGGUGAAUCCAAUAAAACCACGCAGGGAUCUGGACUCUGCCUGAACUGAGAGAAACGGGGUACAAAUAUAUCCUGGUACUGC